RNAcentral lists this ribosomal RNA (246 nucleotides) under uncultured bacterium. RNAcentral's name for it is "partial 16S ribosomal RNA". It matches the Rfam family "Bacterial small subunit ribosomal RNA", at positions 15 to 243 of the family's 1533-position model. The record is from RNAcentral.
GAUCCUGGCUCAGGAUGAACGCUAGCUACAGGCUUAACACAUGCAAGUCGAGGGGAAACGAUAUUGGAAGCUUGCUUCCGAUAGGCGUCGACCGGCGCACGGGUGAGUAACGCGUAUCCAACCUGCCCACCACUUGGGGAUAACCUUGCGAAAGUAAGACUAAUACCCAAUGAUAUCUCUAGAAGACAUCUGAGGAGGUAAUUAAAGUAUUUAGUCGGUGAGUGGAGUGGGGAUGCGUCUGUAUUA